RNAcentral lists this ribosomal RNA (496 nucleotides) under uncultured bacterium. Its description in RNAcentral is "partial 16S ribosomal RNA". It matches the Rfam family "Bacterial small subunit ribosomal RNA", at positions 28 to 506 of the family's 1533-position model. The record is from RNAcentral.
GAUGAACGCUGGCGGCGUGCCUAAUACAUGCAAGUCGAGCGAACAGACGAGGAGCUUGCUCCUCUGACGUUAGCGGCGGACGGGUGAGUAACACGUGGAUAACCUACCUAUAAGACUGGGAUAACUUCGGGAAACCGGAGCUAAUACCGGAUAAUAUAUUGAACCGCAUGGUUCAAUAGUGAAAGACGGUUUUGCUGUCACUUAUAGAUGGAUCCGCGCCGCAUUAGCUAGUUGGUAAGGUAACGGCUUACCAAGGCGACGAUGCGUAGCCGACCUGAGAGGGUGAUCGGCCAAACGGGAACUAGAACACGGUCCAGAUCCCUACGGGAGGCAGCAGUAGGGAAUCUUCCGCAAUGGGCGAAAGCCUGACGGAGCAACGCCGCGUGAGUGAUGAAGGUCUUCGGAUCGUAAAACUCUGUUAUUAGGGAAGAACAAAUGUGUAAGUAACUAUGCACGUCUUGACGGUACCAAAUCAGAAAGCCACGGCUAACUACGU